AGACGCAGCCUCAACAAAGAGCACGGCCGCCACUCCAGCAUGAGAGCCCCUGGGCGGAAAAGUCCACCAAGUGACUCCGCGCGGCGCGGCCCGGCCAGCACGUUUCCCCGGACUCGCGUCUUCUGGCACACAUAGUUCCUUUUGGCGUCUUAUCUUCUGAAGCUGCCUCAAGGCCAAGCAAAGAAAGUUGUUAAAAAGUUAAGUUACUUUUCACAGCCUGCAAACCCUUCAAAGGCAAGAACUCAAAUAGAAACUUGGAAAGGCAGAUAAGCCAGAAAAGUGUACUAAUAAACGCACUUAAUAUGA
Molecule: long non-coding RNA, 306 nt
Organism: Homo sapiens (human)
Lineage: Eukaryota; Metazoa; Chordata; Mammalia; Primates; Hominidae
Exons: 2
Source: RefSeq, a predicted model, not a curated record